Caenorhabditis elegans is the source of this 94-nucleotide non-coding RNA. Lineage: Eukaryota; Metazoa; Nematoda; Chromadorea; Rhabditida; Rhabditidae. The record is from Ensembl.
AAACACAAAAAAAAUUACUGGAGGUAUGGGGAAUCGAACCCCAGACUUCUCGCAUGCAAAGCGAGCGCUCUACCCCUGAGCUAUACCCCCGCAC